GCGCAGCAGGCGAGAAAACUCCGCAAUGCCCGAAAGGGUGACGGGGGGAUUCCAAGUGCCUACGCUUAGCGUAGGCUGUUCAGGUGCCUAAAAAGCACCCGGAGGAAGGGCUGGGUAAGACGGGUGCCAGCCGCCGCGGUAAUACCCGCAGCCCGAGUGGUAGUCGCUUUUAUUGGGCCUAAAGCGUCCGUAGCCGGUCUGGUAAAUGCCUGGGUAAAUCGUGGGGCUUAACCUCACGAAUUCCGGGUAGACUGCCAGACUUGGGACCGGUUGAGGGAGAGGGUACUCCAGGGGUAGGGGUGGAAAUCAGCAAGGUAAGCUGAUGUAACUUGCCUUGCAAGUCACAAUCCUGUAAUCCUUGGAGGACCACCGGUGGCGAAAGCGCUCUCCUAGGACGGGUCCGACGGUGAGGACGAAAGCCAGGGGAGCAAACCGGAUUAAAUACCCCUGUAGU
Molecule: ribosomal RNA, 454 nt
Filed under: uncultured microorganism
Description: bacterial SSU rRNA
Rfam family: Archaeal small subunit ribosomal RNA
Source: RNAcentral